CUUAACACAUGCAAGUCGAGGGGCAGCAUUUCAGUUUGCUUGCAAACUGGAGAUGGCGACCGGCGCACGGGUGAGUAACACGUAUCCAACCUGCCGAUAACUCGGGGAUAGCCUUUCGAAAGAAAGAUUAAUACCCGAUGGUAUAAUCAGACCGCAUGGUCUUGUUAUUAAAGAAUUUCGGUUAUCGAUGGGGAUGCGUUCCAUUAGGCAGUUGGUGAGGUAACGGCUCACCAAACCUUCGAUGGAUAGGGGUUCUGAGAGGAAGGUCCCCCACAUUGGAACUGAGACACGGUCCAAACUCCUACGGGAGGCAGCAGUGAGGAAUAUUGGUCAAUGGGCGCAGGCCUGAACCAGCCAAGUAGCGUGAAGGAUGACUGCCCUAUGGGUUGUAAACUUCUUUUAUAUGGGAAUAAAGUUUUCCACGUGUGGAAUUUUGUAUGUACCAUAUGAAUAAGGAUCGGCUAACUCCGUGCCAGCAGCCGCGGUAAUACGGAGGAUCCGAGCGCUAUCCGGAUUUAUUGGGUUUAAAGGGAGCGUAGGUGGACAGUUAAGUCAGUUGUGAAAGUUUGCGGCUCAACCGUAAAAUUGCAGUUGAUACUGGCUGUCUUGAGUACAGUAGAGGUGGGCGGAAUUCGUGGUGUAGCGGUGAAAUGCUUAGAUAUCACGAAGAACUCCGAUUGCGAAGGCAGCUCACUGGACUGCAACUGACACUGAUGCUCGAAAGUGUGGGUAUCAAACAGGAUUAGAUACCCUGGUAGUCCACACAGUAAACGAUGAAUACUCGCUGUUUGCGAUAUACAGUAAGCGGCCAAGCGAAAGCAUUAAGUAUUCCACCUGGGGAGUACGCCGGCAACGGUGAAACUCAAAGGAAUUGACGGGGGCCCGCACAAGCGGAGGAACAUGUGGUUUAAUUCGAUGAUACGCGAGGAACCUUACCCGGGCUUAAAUUGCAUUUGAAUAUAUUGGAAACAGUAUAGCCGUAAGGCAAAUGUGAAGGUGCUGCAUGGUUGUCGUCAGCUCGUGCCGUGAGGUGUCGGCUUAAGUGCCAUAACGAGCGCAACCCUUAUCUUUAGUUACUAACAGGUCAUGCUGAGGACUCUAGAGAGACUGCCGUCGUAAGAUGUGAGGAAGGUGGGGAUGACGUCAAAUCAGCACGGCCCUUACGUCCGGGGCUACACACGUGUUACAAUGGGGGGUACAGAAGGCAGCUACCUGGUGACAGGAUGCUAAUCCCAAAAGCCUCUCUCAGUUCGGAUCGAAGUCUGCAACCCGACUUCGUGAAGCUGGAUUCGCUAGUAAUCGCGCAUCAGCCAUGGCGCGGUGAAUACGUUCCCGGGCCUUGUACACACCGCCCGUCAAGCCAUGAAAGCCGGGGGUACCUGAAGUACGUAACCGCAAGGAGCGUCCUAGGGUAAAACUGGUAAUUGGGGCUAAGUCGU
RNAcentral lists this ribosomal RNA (1439 nucleotides) under uncultured organism. RNAcentral's name for it is "SSU rRNA". It matches the Rfam family "Bacterial small subunit ribosomal RNA". The record is from RNAcentral.